Molecule: long non-coding RNA, 2824 nt
Organism: Gymnogyps californianus (California condor)
Lineage: Eukaryota; Metazoa; Chordata; Aves; Accipitriformes; Cathartidae
Exons: 2
Source: RefSeq, a predicted model, not a curated record
CAAUCAACAGCAUGGUGCUCCAGGAUUACUUUAACAUGUUUUUCCUGGAAUGAGGAUGCACCAACAAUUCAUACCCUGCAGGUAUGGCUGCAACACCUGAUGAGGUGCUGACUGUAAUCAGAAAUAAUCAAGACUUACUUUGGAAAAAUCUUAUUACAUUUGAGCCAGGACUGGAGCUGAUACUCAAAGAUAUUUCCAUUUCAAAUAGAUAUUUUUGGUUGCUAGUAGUUUUAUGAUCUUAACUUCCAUGCUGCAAUCUGGCUUAUGUGGAUAUAUGUACAUUUGUCUCAGUGCAGGAACAUGUGCUUAGAAUGCAGUUUGCAAAUCAUGAUAUCUCACUCUGUGGCGUGCCAGGAUCAAGAUUUGCUCAUUACCCAAAACCUGGCACUUGGGUUUUCAGAGGACUUGAGGUGCUUCUUGUGCACCCUCAAACUUCCAUUACAGAAAUCAAUUGCCAGUUGUCCAAGUGCCUUUGUGGAUCUUCAUCUGGUCUUUGAAGCAAAGCAUCGCAAUCUGGUUAAGGACAACUUGCAAAUUGGGACUUCUCAGUACGUAAAGAUCAAAGUCCAUUGAAUCCAACUCCAUGUAAUCUGAAGAAACACUGAAUUUCUGAAGCCUUUGACAGAUGUAGUCUGAGGCUUAUAUAUUGAAGCCAGAAAGCCCCUUUAUUUGAAAAGAAACUUCCUUUUCCCCUUUCUCUAAUCUGCUUUCACUGUAAGUUGCUGUUGCCAGCAACUGAGCUGAAAACUGUCCCAUUUGUCUGCACCGAAUUAUGAUGAUUUAGAUGCGUGAGUGCAAUGGAUUUUUGUGCUGAAUCUUUAUUUGGAAGAGAUGUCUAAAUGUAGUCCAGUAUUAGCAAUCUAAGACUGAGUGAAAGACAGUUUCUUCUAGGUUUUUUGUCUUUCUUGGUUGACAUAAGCCUCUCCCUACUGAAAAUCCCCUCUCAGUUUGAGCUGUGCAUCUGGUAUUUAGGCACCUGGCCCUCCCCAGUUAGCAUAAAGGGAAUUUGGGGAUUUGACUCAGCAUCUGAUUUCCAUACCAGGAACCUCUUGCUUUUAAUUUGGAUGUUACUUCAAGAAAGUCGAAGUGCCGUAUAGGCCUAACAUUUUUCUGAAGUUAAUCUUUCCAUCCAAAUAAUAAACUGUACACUUGCUCCCUCUUCACCAUCCUUUUAGAAAAAUAUAAGUCAGGUGACAAACAUGUGAUUGCAUACAGACAUGAUUGAACUGUUGAAUAUAUGUUGAAUAUAUGCAUUUUUUUCAGUUGAUUUAAAAACACAAAUAGUUGUCCAGGCAGGAGUAGGCCCGAAAGGAGAUCACGUAUAAUCACAAUAACACUUCUGGGGCAUGAAAAUAAAAGCCAUCCCAACAUUGGCAGUAUCACUUGUCAAAACCGUAAAUCUAGUUUGUUAGAUGUCAACUUUGAAAGCUAUUUCUUAUUGUUUACAAAGUCAUGAUGUUGAUUCAUUCUUAUAAAGCCUUCAUUUUUAGUAGCACUAUUCAAACCUUUUGGUUUGUAGAUGGCUUUUGCCAAGGCUUGUACCUUCUUUUGAGGGACAGUCUAAUUUUGGUGUACUGCUGGCAAAGCAAUUGCCACUCUGGUAUUUUUGUAUGUUUUGAAGAUUGGAAUUGUGUAUUGGGCAAUUCCUCAUUGGGAAGGUCAGACUGGAUUUUUUUACACUUUGGCCUGAGUUUGGAUGAUUCUACAGGAAUUAAAGCUCACACGAGCACUGUUCUGUAAAGUCAGGCUUGUCCUCCUGCCUGAGCAGUCCCCUCAUAUUGAAAUUCACCCUUCAAAAAAGGCGUUGGUUUGACUGAUGUUAUGAUAAAGCGCUUAGUUGCGAUGACUCAAUUUUUUGAAAGAUCAUUGAAAAAUUGGCAGAAAAGGGCAAAAAGAUCCACAGAAUGGCCUUGGGGCUGUGGAAAAUGCAUUAUAGUAAGAGACCUCAGGAACACAAUCUGUGUGGUCCAUCAAAAAAGGAGAUUAAGGUGACUUGAUCUGUCUAAGUGACUUCCUGAUAAGGAUAUAUUGGCUCCUAAAGUUGUCUUAAUAAAGUAAAAAAGGAGAGAAAGAACCGAUAGUGGGGAGCUGAAGCAAUAAAAAUUCAAACAUGAAUUAGACCUAAUUUUUUUUAUAGACGAAUGUGGUUAACCGCUAGAGUAAGUGUCGGCUUCUAUCGAUGUCUUCCUAGCACUACUGAAAAAUCUGUUUUUAAAGAAUACUUUGUCCAAAAUGUAAUUAUUCUGCAGUCAUGUAUAAUCUGUUAGGCUCUAUGUAACAGCAGCUGGAAAAAAUACAGUAUACAGGAUUUUGUUGGAGGACUUGGUGGUCAUUUGUGCCAGUAAAAGUAUGCAAUUUAUUAAAGGAAUUAUGUUUAUUCUGGGUCAGGCCUAAGAUCUAAAUCUCCCUUCCCCAGACAGGCUGAGGGACACACAGAAUCCAUGAGAAGUGAGGAAAUAAAACAACUUCUCCAUUAGCGCGGGGGGUUAUUUUGAACCGACCUGUUGGAACAGUGCUGGGUGGCAAAAGUAUGAAGUUUAGCUGUGAUGUAAUUUCUAGGUGAGAGACGUGCUGGAAACAGAUUUGAUCCAUGAAAUGUUGAAAUACAAAAGCUGACAAGUUUCUCCCUUGCUAUGCUCUGGCCUUAAGAAAUAGACCCACUUUCAAAGAGGGCUUUAAAUUCUCUUGAACUGCUUUCAAGGAGACAGAGGCAUAAUGCAAGUUAACAUCUUGCUUUUACCAGCAUGUUACAGCUUUUGGAGUCUGUGCUAUAGCUUACAAGUCCUAGAAGCUGACUGACUGCCUCUGUGCUUGUGUAUUUCAU